GGGGGAAUAUUGGAGAAUGGGGGGAACCCUGAUCCAGCCAUGCCGCGUGGGUGAAGAAGGCCUUAGGGUGGUAAAGCACUUUAAGAGAGGAGGAGGGUACUGGUAGUAAGAGUAGCAGCUACGGGACGUUACUCGGAGAAGAAGAACCGGCUAACUCUGUGCCAGCAGCCGCGGUAAUACAGAGGGUGCGAGCGUUAAUCGGAUUUACUGGGCGUAAAGCGUGCGUAGGCGGCUAAUUGAGUCGGAUGUGAAAUCCCCGAGCUUAACUUGGGAAUUGCAUUCGAUACUGGUUAGCUAGAGUGUGGGAGAGGAUGGUAGAAUUCCAGGUGUAGCGGUGAAAUGCGUAGAGAUCUGGAGGAAUACCGAUGGCGAAGGCAGCCAUCUGGCCUAACACUGACGCUGAGGUACGAAAGCAUGGGGAGCAAACAGG
RNAcentral lists this ribosomal RNA (430 nucleotides) under Pseudomonadota bacterium. Its description in RNAcentral is "Proteobacteria bacterium partial 16S ribosomal RNA". It matches the Rfam family "Bacterial small subunit ribosomal RNA", at positions 355 to 776 of the family's 1533-position model. Lineage: Bacteria; Pseudomonadati; Pseudomonadota. The record is from RNAcentral.